AUCAGUUCAGACCCAAUUCCCUGGCAUAUGUUCCUAGGAUCAAAUCACAACGGUAUUCAAACACAGUCACAUUCCUUCCUUUGCGACAAAAAUAUAAUUUUUUUAAAAAAUAUUAUAGAUACCUCAUAAAAUUAGUAAUAUCAUAAUUAUCUUUUUAAAUACCUACUUUGUUCCAAUUAUACCCUCAUCGUUCGCCUUAGUAAGUUUAUAUAACUUUAAUCCUUUUUUUAUUAUAUAAAAUAUAUUAAAUAUAAAAUUACCUAAUUUUUCUUUAUUUU
This 278-nucleotide long non-coding RNA is filed under the name Ananas comosus (pineapple). Its description in RNAcentral is "long non-coding RNA (ACOM_LNC014124)". The record is from RNAcentral. Lineage: Eukaryota; Viridiplantae; Streptophyta; Magnoliopsida; Poales; Bromeliaceae.